RNAcentral lists this ribosomal RNA (490 nucleotides) under uncultured bacterium. RNAcentral describes it as "partial 16S ribosomal RNA". It matches the Rfam family "Bacterial small subunit ribosomal RNA", at positions 28 to 507 of the family's 1533-position model. The record is from RNAcentral.
GAUGAACGCUAGCUACAGGCUUAACACAUGCAAGUCGAGGGGCAGCAUGGUCUUAGCUUGCUAAGGCCGAUGGCGACCGGCGCACGGGUGAGUAACACGUAUCCAACCUGCCGUCUACUCUUGGACAGCCUUCUGAAAGGAAGAUUAAUACAAGAUGGCAUCAUGAGUUCACAUGUUCACAUGAUUAAAGGUAUUCCGGUAGACGAUGGGGAUGCGUUCCAUUAGAUAGUAGGCGGGGUAACGGCCCACCUAGUCUUCGAUGGAUAGGGGUUCUGAGAGGAAGGUCCCCCACAUUGGAACUGAGACACGGUCCAAACUCCUACGGGAGGCAGCAGUGAGGAAUAUUGGUCAAUGGGCGAGAGCCUGAACCAGCCAAGUAGCGUGAAGGAUGACUGCCCUAUGGGUUGUAAACUUCUUUUAUAAAGGAAUAAAGUCGGGUAUGUAUACCCGUUUGCAUGUACUUUAUGAAUAAGGAUCGGCUAUCUCCGUG